AAAGAGAAGUCACUAAUCCCAUGCUGCCAAGAAAAGCCUCUAGCGAGCUGACACGGUGCCCGUACCCCAAACCAACACAGGUGGGCAGGUAGAGAAUACCAAGGCGAUCGGGAGAACUGUGGUUAGGGAACUCGGCAAAAUGCCUCCGUAACUUCGGGAGAAGGAGGACCCCAUCAGGGUGAAGGACCUCGCGUCCGGAGCUCGAAGGGGUGGCACAGACCAGGGGAAAGCGACUGUUUACUAAAAACACAGCAGCGUGCGAAGUCGAAAGACGAUGUAUACGCUGUGACGCCUGCCCAAUGCCGGAAGGUUAAAGGGAAGGGUUAGUCCGCAAGGACGAAGCUCUGAACUGAAGCCCCGGUGAAUGGCGGCCUUAACUAUAACGGUCCUAAGGUAGCGAAAUUCCUUGUCGGGUAAGUUCCGACCUGCACGGAUGGCGUAACGACUUUCCUACUGUCUCAACCACAGACCCGGCGAAAUUGAAGUACGAGUAAAGAUGCUCGUUAGCUGCAGAAGGACGGAAAGACCCCGUGGACCUUUACUAUAGCUUGAUGUUGGGUUUUGUUAUGUGUUGUGUAGGAUAGGUGGGAGACUGGGAAGCAUUGGCGCUAGUCAGUGUGGAGUCAACGUUGAAAUACCACCCUGCUCAUAACGGAACUCUAACCCACGUCCCUUAUCGGGAUGGGGGACAGCGUCUGGUGGGUAGUUUGACUGGGGCGGUCGCCUCCUAAAGAGUAACGGAGGCGCCCAAAGGUUCCCUCAGGCUGGUUGGCAAUCAGCCGUCGAGUGCAAUGGCACAAGGGAGCUUGACUGCGAGACCUACAAGUCAAGCAGGUGCGAAAGCAGGGCAUAGUGAUCCGGCGGUUGCGUGUGGAAGCGCCGUCGCUCAACGGAUAAAAGGUACCCCGGGGAUAACAGGCUCAUCUUCCCCAAGAGUCCAUAUCGACGGGAAGGUUCGGCACCUCGAUGUCGGCUCAUCGCAUCCUGGGGCUGAAGCAGGUCCCAAGGGUUGGGCUGUUCGCCCAUUAAAGCGGUACGCGAGCUGGGUUUAGAACGUCGUGAGACAGUUCGGUCCCUAUCCUCUGUAGCCGGAAGGAACUUGAGAAAAGCUGUCCCUAGUACGAGAGGACCGGGAUGGACGCAGCUCUCGUGUGCCAGUUGUCCUGCCAAGGGCAUGGCUGGUUAGCGACCUGCGGAAGGGAUAAGCGCUGAAAGCAUCUAAGUGCGAAGCCCUUUUCAAGAUGAGGUUCCUCACUGGGUUAACCAGGUAAGGCCUGUGAGAGACGAUCAC
This 1291-nucleotide ribosomal RNA is filed under the name metagenome. RNAcentral's name for it is "bacterial LSU rRNA". It matches the Rfam family "Bacterial large subunit ribosomal RNA", at positions 1582 to 2851 of the family's 2925-position model. The record is from RNAcentral.